Molecule: ribosomal RNA, 501 nt
Filed under: uncultured bacterium
Lineage: Bacteria
Description: partial 16S ribosomal RNA
Rfam family: Bacterial small subunit ribosomal RNA
Source: RNAcentral
GACGAACGCUGGCGGCGUGCUUAACACAUGCAAGUCGAACGGUGAAGCACCUUCCUUUUGGUGGGUGUGGAUGAGUGGCGAACGGGUGAGUAACACGUGAGUAACCUGCCCCCUUCUUCUGGAUAACCGCAUGAAAGUGUGGCUAAUACGGGAUAUUCUGUGCCUGCUGCAUGGUGGGUGUGGGAAAGGUGCGCGUUUGGGUGUUUGUGGUGGGGGAUGGGCUCGCGGCCUAUCAGCUUGUUGGUGGGGUGAUGGCCUACCAAGGCGGUGACGGGUAGCCGGCCGGCGGGUGUGGACGGUCACACUGGGACUGGGCCACGGCCCAGACUGCUACGGGAGGCAGCAGUGGGGAAUAUUGCACAGUGGGCGCAAGCCUGAUGCAGCGACGCCGCGUGAGGGAUGGCGGCCUUCGGGUUGUAAACCUCUUUCGCCAGUGAAGCAGGCCUGUCCCUUGUGGGUGGGUUGACGGUAGCUGGAUAAGAAGCGCCGGCUAACUACGUG